RNAcentral lists this ribosomal RNA (472 nucleotides) under uncultured bacterium. RNAcentral describes it as "partial 16S ribosomal RNA". It matches the Rfam family "Bacterial small subunit ribosomal RNA", at positions 28 to 523 of the family's 1533-position model. The record is from RNAcentral.
GAUGAAUGCUGACAGAACGAUUAACACAUGCAAGACUAGUUUAUCCUUCGGGUGAUGGUGGCGGACGGGUGAGUAACGCGUAAAGAACUUGCCCUGCAGUCUGGGACAAAAUUUGGAAACGAAUGUUAAUACCGGAUAUUUUGUGAGUUUCGCAUGAAAUCCAUAUGAAAGCUAUAUGCGCUGCAGGAGAGCUUUGCGUCCUAUUAGCUAGUUGGUGAGGUAACGGCUCACAAAGGCGAUGAUAGGUAGCCGGCCUGAGAGGGGGAACGGCCACAAGGGGACUGCGACCCGGCCCUUACUCCGACGGGAGGCAGCAGUGGGGAAUAUUAGACAAUGGACCAAAAUUCUGAUCCAGCAAUUCUGUGUGCACGAUGAAGUUUUUCGGAAUGUAAAGUGCUUUCAGUUGGGACGAAGUAAGUGACGGUACCAACAGAAGAAGCGACGGCUAAAUACGUGCCAGCAGCCGCGGUAA